RNAcentral lists this ribosomal RNA (433 nucleotides) under uncultured bacterium. RNAcentral describes it as "partial 16S ribosomal RNA". It matches the Rfam family "Bacterial small subunit ribosomal RNA", at positions 29 to 507 of the family's 1533-position model. The record is from RNAcentral.
AACGAACGCUGGCGGCAUGCCUAACACAUGCAAGUCGAACGAGACCUUCGGGUCUAGUGGCGCACGGGUGCGUAACGCGUGGGAACCUGCCCUUAGGUUCGGAAUAACUCCCCGAAAGGGGUGCUAAUACCGGAUAAUGUCUUCGGACCAAAGAUUUAUCGCCUUUGGGUGGGCCCGCGUUGGAUUAGCUAGUUGGUAGGGUAAAAGCCUACCAAGGCGACGAUCCAUAGCUGGUCUGAGAGGAUGAUCAGCCACACUGGGGCUGAGACACGGCCCAGACUCCUACGGGAGGCAGCAGUGGGGAAUAUUGGAAAAUGGGCGGAAGACUGAUCCAGCUAUGCCGCGUGAGUGAUGAAGGCCUUAGGGUUGUAAAGCUCUUUUACCCGGGAUGAUAAUGACAGUACCGGGCGAAUAAGCUCCGGCUAACUCCGUG